AAAAAAAAAAAGAAGAGAAGAAAUGAAGAAGAAGGGAAGAGAGAGAGAUGGCCAAGAACCACCGUUUGCAACGAAGAACAGGAAGCAGAAUGCACUGGCCAGAAGCCCACCGCAGGGGGAAUUCGAUUCGCUGCCACUAGGUGCUGGAAAUCGUAAUUUUUCGACGGGUUUUCCAAACGACCCGCGAUCCGUGACUGCGAAGCUACUUUGGGGAUCGAUUUAGAGCCUCAAAUCAACCUGUUUUGCAAAAACAUUUGUGUUCAAGUAUGUGGUUCGCCUGCGUAUGUAAGAGGAAGAAAACGCCAUGUCCAGUUAUGGCUACGGAUGAACAACGAGGUGAGUGCGGGUACACACGGUGAUGCCUGCGAGAUCUGCAAGUUCUAGCAUGCUUGACGACAGCGAUGACGCCACAAGAAUGCAACUGUGUGGAUGUUUUCCCAGAGGCCACCACCCGUGCCUCUUUUUAGUGUCAAAAACAGGAAGAAUUAGUUUUCCUAGAUUUGAUUCCGAUAAUAGAACUUUACUAAUGAACGUUUGUAGCUUGUUUAGGUAUAUUGAAUUUGGAUUGCAAUUAGGGCUUAGGACGAAACAGUGCUUUAUUCGAGGUAAG
Carica papaya (papaya) is the source of this 610-nucleotide long non-coding RNA. RefSeq lists it as uncharacterized. The record is from RefSeq and is a predicted model, not a curated record. Lineage: Eukaryota; Viridiplantae; Streptophyta; Magnoliopsida; Brassicales; Caricaceae.